GGCCACCAUCACACAUCAGGAACCUGAGGACGGCCAGACAGAUGUUUACAGCCGAGCAGGCGGGAGAGACACUUGCGUGUUGAGACCAACACAGAGACACAUUCUGGUGUGCUACCGACAUCUUCGUGGAGGAGGUGCGCCGUGGUUACCUGAGCGUGGAGCGAGGAGGGGUAAGUAAAAGCCGGUGCGAGGGCCGGCGACAGCUCAGCCGGGUACAGCGGGUACGACGCCCACACGUCUGGGCUGCCGGGAUAGAGAGCGGGUACUGUGAGCUCAUCUGUGGAAAGAAGAAGAAAAGCAGGCGUGGAGUGAGGCCGUUGCACGGCUGUAAACAUCACACAGGUGUAAAAAAACAUUUUGCAUCGCAUUAUUUUCUGAAGACAAAACCAUCUGAACUAUAUGUAGUAAAAAAAAAAAAAAAAGAGAGAAAAAAAAAAAGUCUAAAAUUAGCUCCACUAUCACUGCUUGUUUGUUUGAUUGACAAGCAGCCUCUUGGCUUCCAAGUGAUUAUACUGCGAGGCGGUCCGAUUACUGCGAGGAGUCCAUAAAAAGAGCUGCUGAGUGAAAGAGCGAGGUGACGGCGCGCAACGGAAAUCAAGGAAGCGAGCGCUUCUAUUGCCAAGCGAGCACAUGGAGAAAAAAACAACACUUUAUCACAAAAUGGUGGCCGUUUCUUCACUGAUGUCGUUGUGUCAGUAAUGGCUUCCUUAUUUGCCCCCCUCCCACACACACACACACACACACACACACACACACACACGUUCUCUGGCACCACAUUUUUCAGAUAAGAACAUUUGUUUGCUCAUCGGACAAGAAUGCAGCAAAGAGCGAUUGCCGCAUGGCUGCGGAAUCCAGGAAGCUUCUGGAGAAAAGUUGAACUUUUGUACUACAAACACACCUGCUCAGCUGCAACUCAAAUACAGCAGACGAUUCAAAUGUUUUGGGGAAAAAAUAUUCAAAAUUAAAACUGCAUGAAUCACAUAAAGUAAAAAGUCACGGCCACUAUGACUUUGCCUUUUUUUUUCUUUCUUGAUUUUUUUUUUUAAUCACUUUUAUAUGAUCCUAUUUACAAUUAUUUCCACACUCCGUGACUGGACAGUUAAUAAAGUUUUUACGACAGCGA
Molecule: long non-coding RNA, 1123 nt
Organism: Syngnathus acus (greater pipefish)
Lineage: Eukaryota; Metazoa; Chordata; Actinopteri; Syngnathiformes; Syngnathidae
Exons: 2
Source: RefSeq, a predicted model, not a curated record